CAGGCCGCCGCGGGAAUACGAAGGGUGCAAGCGUUACUCGGAAUUACUGGGCGUAAAGCGUGCGUAGGUGGUGGUUUAAGUCCGUUGUGAAAGCCCUGGGCUCAACCUGGGAAUUGCAGUGGAUACUGGGUCACUAGAGUGUGGUAGAGGAUAGUGGAAUUUCCGGUGUAGCAGUGAAAUGCGUAGAGAUCGGAAGGAACAUCUGUGGCGAAGGCGACUAUCUGGGCCAACACUGACACUGAGGCACGAAAGCGUGGGGUGCAAACAGGAUUAGAUACCCCAGUAGUCCCUGUCUCUUAUA
This 301-nucleotide ribosomal RNA is filed under the name uncultured bacterium. RNAcentral describes it as "partial 16S ribosomal RNA". It matches the Rfam family "Bacterial small subunit ribosomal RNA", at positions 508 to 808 of the family's 1533-position model. The record is from RNAcentral.